UGUAGAUCUGGCCUUGUGUUUUCAGGUUAUUGUUCUGCUGAAAGAUGAAUUCAUCUCCCAGUGUAGAUCUGGCCUUGUGUUUUUAGGUUAUUGUCCUGCUGAAAGGUGAAUUAAUCUCCCAGUGUCUGGUGGUGUAACGUUUUCGCUGGGAGUCAGAAAGCAGGUGCAGAAGGUGAGUUUAAUAAUAAUAAUAAUAAUAAUAAUACAGAGGGUUAGAUAAUAUAAAACAGGAGAAGUUUACUGAACAAGACAAAACCAAUACUACCUGAUGACUGAGGAUACAGAGGGUUAGAUAAAGGGAGAGUAAUAAAGGUGAUGAUGGGUUCCAGGUGUGUAAUAAUGAGGUACAGGUGUGUGUAAUGAUGAGAUCCAGGUGUGUAAUGAUGAGGUCCAGGUGUCUGUGAUGAUUAGGUCCAGGUGUGUGUAAUGAUGAGGUCCAGGUGUGUGUAAUGAUGAGGUCCAGGUGUGUGUAAUAAUGAGGUCCAGGUGUGUGUAAUGAUGAGGUCCAGGUGUGUGUAAUGAUGAGGUCCAGGUAUGCGUAAUGAUGGUGCCAGAAGCAGUGGCAGUGGCGACGUGGACCACUGGAGGGGGGUUGCGGGACUAGGCUUGACAAGUGGAAAGCAGACUGAACCAGGUUUUUCCUCUAGGAUCCUGCCUGUGCUUAAGUCCAUUCCCCGGUCCUUAACGAUAACAAGCAUACACAUGACAUGAUGCAGCCACCACCAUGCUUGGAAAUAUGGAGAGUGGUACUCAGUAAUGUGUUGGAUUUGUCCCAAACAUAACACUUUGUAUUCAGGACAUAAUGCUAAUCGCUUUGCCACAUUUUUUGGGAGUAGUACUUUAGUGCCUUGUUGCAAAUGUUUUGUAAUACUUUUUUAUUCUGUACAGGCUUCCUUCUUUUCAUUCUGUCAUUUAGGUUAAUAUUGUGGAGUAACUACAUUGUUGUUGAUCCAUCCUCAGUUUUCUCCUAUCACAGCCAUUAAACUCUGUAACUGUUUUAAAGUCACCAUUGGCCUCAUGGUGAAAUCCCUGAGCGGUUUCCUUCCUCUCCGGCAACUGAGUUAGGAAGGACGCCUGUAUCUUUGUAGUGACUGGGUGCAUUUAUACACCAUCCAAAGUGUAAUUAAUAACUUCACCAUGCUCAAAGGGAUAUUCAAUGUCUGCUUUUAUUUUAUUUUUACCCAUCUACCAAUAGGUGCCCUUCUUUGCGAGGCAUUGGGAAACCUCCCUGGUCUUUGCGGUUGAAUCUGUGCUUCAAAUUCACUGCUUGACUGAGGGACCUUACAUAUAAUUCUAUGUGUGAGGUACAGAGAUGAGGUAGUCAUUCUAAAAUCAUGAUAAACACUUUUAUUGCACACAGAGUGAGUCCAUGCAACUUAUUGUGUGACUUGUUAAGCUAAUGUUUACUCCUGAAUUUACACUACAUGACCAAAAGCAUGUGGACACCUGCUCGUCCAACAUCUCAUUCCAACAUCAUCAUUAAUAUGGAGUUGGUCCCCCCCUUUGCAGCUAUAACAGCCUCCACUCUUCAGGGAAGUCAUUAAUAUGGAGUUGGUCCCCCCCUUUGCUGCUAUAACAGCCUCCACUCUUCUGGGAAGUCAUUAAUAUGGAGUUGGUCCCCCCCUUUGCUGCUAUAACAGCCUCCACUCUUCAGGGAAGGCAUUAAUAUGGAGUUGGUCCCCCCCUUUGCUGCUAUAACAGCCUCCACUCUUCAGGGAAGUCAUUAAUAUGGAGUUGGUCCCCCCUUUGCUGCUAUAACAGCCUCCACUCUUCAGGGAAGGCAUUAAUAUGGAGUUGGUCCCCCCUUUGCUGCUAUAACAGCCUCCACUCUUCAGGGAAGUAAUUAAUAUGGAGUUGGUCCCCCCUUUGCUGCUAUAACAGCCUCCACUCUUUAGGGAAGGCUUUCCACUAGACGUUGGAACAUUGCUGCAGGGACUUGCUUCCAUUCAGCCACAAGAGCAUUCGUGAGGUGGGGCCCUGAUGUUGGGCGAUUAGGUCCCGGCUCGCAGUCGACGUUCCAAUUCAUCCCAAAGGUGUUCGAUGGGGUUAAGGUCAGGGCUCUGUGUAGGCCAGUCAAGUUCUUCCACACUGAUCUCAACAAACUAUUUCUGUAUGGACCUCGCUUUGUGCACUGUCCUCGCUUUGUGCAUUGUCAUGCUGAAACAGGAAAAGGGCCUUCCCCCUGAACUCUUGCCACAAAAUCGCCUAGAAUGAGAGUCCAACGGCAGCGAGCUUUACACCACUCCACCCGACGCUUGGCAUUGCGCAUGGUGAUCUUUAGGCUUGCGUGCGGCUGCUCAGCCAUGGAAACCCAUUUCACGAAGCUCCCGACGAACAGUUAUUGUGCUGCCGUUGCUUCCAGAGGCGGUUUGGGAACUCAGUAGUUUAAGCGGUUCAGCACUCGGCGGUACCGUUCUGUGAGCUUUUGUGGCCUACCACUUUGCGGCUGAACCGUUGUUGCUCCUAGGUGUUUCCACUUCACUAUAAUAGAAUUUACAGUUGACCGGGGGAAAGUCUAGCAGGGCAGAAAUUUGACAGACUGACUUUUUGGAAAGGUGACAUCCUUGAAAGUCACUGAACUCUUCAGUACAGGUCAUUCUACUGCCAAUGUUUGUCUAUGGAGAUUGCAUGGCUGUGUGCUCAAUUUUAUACACCGGUUUGGCUGAAAUAGCCAAAUCCAUUCAUUUGAAGGGGUGUCCACAUACUUUUGAAUAUAUCGUGUAUUUAUGCUCGCCAUAACAAACGGGUAUAACACUUAUUGAUUCAAAACAUUUCAGCUUUUCAUUUUCAUUAAUUUGUAAAAAUGUAAAUAGAUAUAAUUCCUCUUUGACAUUAUUGGGGUAUUGUGUGUAGUCCAGUGACCUCAAAAAUAAAAAUCUCAAUGUAAUCUAAUCCGUAACACAACAAAAUGUGUUUAAAAAGUCAAGGGUCCGUUUCAUUGGUCAUUUUCCAGAGAUGUGAUGAAAUGUGGACUGCCAGUACCAACAUAACACACUUAGAAAGAUAUUUUACCUCAGAAAUUAAAGUAUUGUUAUCCAUGACACAAUUUCCCUGUUAUAACAUGACAAAAAAAAAUGGAAAUAUGUAAAAUCAUUUGAUUAAAAGUCAAUUCCCCAGUCCUCUGUCUAUGACAAAUACAGUACCCAGGGGGAAAUACACAGAGACAACUGGAAUUACCAACAAAACCAACAACUUUAACACUGUUAUUCAUAUAAGACCCUACGACACGAACAAUGACCCGGUUUAUAAAGGACGAUUAGUCAGAACACACCUGAGACCGUUGGUAGGGGUUUUGAGGGGGGGAGGGGUACGGCAUUUUUACAGUCACUUGAUAGGAACAAUGAACGAUGAAGGAUUUGGCUAGGAAUCUGAACUAGACAGGGGAAUUCCCCUCACAGUCAGACUAGGAGAGCACUGAGAACUCUGUGACCUCAGAACACAGUGUGGUUCGGUCGCAAACGGCAUCCUUUUCACCAUGUGGCACACUACUAUUGACCAGAGCCCUAUGGACACCUAUGGGCCUCCCUAUGGGCCCCCCUAUGGGCCCCCCUAUGGGCCUCCCCUAUGGGCCUCCCUAUGGGCCUCCCUAUGGGCCUCCCUAUGGGCCUCCCUAUGGGCCUCCCUAUGUACCCUGGGCUGUAGGAAAUACCCUGUCAUGUAGGACGCAGCCUGUGGCUUUGUGUCCUGACAAACUGACAUUGAACAUUCAACAUCAUUGGCUCAGAUGCAGACCCCCCCCCAUUUUAAUUAAUUUACUUAACUUUCCUCCAUUCCUCACGUCCUCUUUCCUCAUCUCCUUCAACUAAAACCCACUGGAGAAGAAGGCCUGAACGGAGGGACCUUAGACAUAAAAAAACGGUAACUGUAAUUCGUUACGUUACCAGCAAAAAACUAUUGUAAUCAGAUUACAGAUACUUUAGAAAAACGACAUGAUUACUGAGAGAGGAUUACUUUUAAACUCUGAAAAUCUUUGACGCUUCUCUGUUUUCUCAUCGACGUUCAAAUCAACAUUGAAAAAACAUUGAAAAAAAGUUUACGUUUGUUCCACCUGAGCGAGUCUGACCACCAAUCAGAGACCACUAAUGAUGACACACCAAAUAAUGACCACCAAUCAGAGACCACUAUGGUGACACAACAAACGAUGACCACCAAUCAGAGACCACUAAUGAUGACACACCAAAUGAUGACCACCAAUCAGAGACCACUAUGGUGACACACCAAAUGAUGACCACCAAUCAGAGACCACUAAUGAUGACACACCAAAUGAUGACCACCAAUCAGAGACCACUAUGGUGACACACCAAAUGAUGACCACCAAUCAGAGACCACUAUGGUGACACACCAAAUGAUGACCACCAAUCAGAGACCACUAUGAUCACACACCAAAUACUGACCACCAAUCAGAGAACACUAUGAUGACACUCCAAAUAGGUUACGGACGAUACGGAUAUCACUUAUUACUGAUAUCUACAUAGAGCAUUGACGCGAAUCACACUGCUGCUGCUCUCUCAUUUAGCGAUUUGAGCCUUUACGGAUUGUUGUUGUUGUGGACGGCUGAUCACAAAUCUAAACGUGUAUUUGAACCCAAUUUAUGGUGGAAUUCAAGAAGUUGAAGCUGCCUAUCAAAUCAUUGUUUUUUAAUCCAGUGGACAGCGAGCGAAACCAUGUGUGGAUCCCAGCCUAUAGAAUAACAGCUGCAUAGUGUGGAUCCCAGCCUAUAGAAUAACAGCUGCAUAGUGUGGAUCCCAGCCUAUAGAAUAACAGCUGCAUAGUGUGGAUCCCAGCCUAUAGAAUAACAGCUGUAUAGUGUGGAUCCCAGCCUAUAGAAUAACAGCUGCAUAGUGUGGAUCCCAGCCUAUAGAAUAACAGCUGC
Molecule: long non-coding RNA, 4873 nt
Filed under: Salmo salar (Atlantic salmon)
Lineage: Eukaryota; Metazoa; Chordata; Actinopteri; Salmoniformes; Salmonidae
Description: lncRNA (ENSSSAG00000108865.1)
Source: RNAcentral